GCAGCAGGCGCGAAACCUUUACACUGCACGCCAGUGCGAUAAGGGGACUCCAAGUGCGAGGGCAUAUCGUCCUCGCUUUUGUGUACCGUAAGGUGGUACACGAAUAAGGGCUGGGCAAGACCGGUGCCAGCCGCCGCGGUAAUACCGGCAGCCCAAGUGAUGACCGCUCUUAUUGGGCCUAAAGCGUCCGUAGCUGGCCGUUCAAGUCCAUCGGGAAAUCCGCGCGCCCAACGCGCGGGCGUCCGGUGGAAACUGUUCGGCUUGGGACCGGAAGACCUGAGGGGUACGUCUGGGGUAGGAGUGAAAUCCCGUAAUCCUGGACGGACCACCGGUGGCGAAAGCGCCUCAGGAGGACGGAUCCGACGGUGAGGGACGAAAGCUCGGGUCACGAACCGGAUUAGAUACCCGGGUAGUCCGGGCUGUAAACGAUGUCUGCUAGGUGUGACACAGGCUACGAGCCUGUGUUGUGCCGUAGGGAAGCCGUGAAGCAGACCGCCUGGGAAGUACGUCCGCAAGGAUGAAACUUAAAGGAAUUGGCGGGGGAGCACUACAACC
RNAcentral lists this ribosomal RNA (555 nucleotides) under uncultured haloarchaeon. Its description in RNAcentral is "bacterial SSU rRNA". It matches the Rfam family "Archaeal small subunit ribosomal RNA", at positions 332 to 886 of the family's 1478-position model. The record is from RNAcentral. Lineage: Archaea; Methanobacteriati; Methanobacteriota; Halobacteria; Halobacteriales; Halobacteriaceae.